UAGGGAAUCUUCCACAAUGGACGCAAGUCUGAUGGAGCAACGCCGCGUGAGUGAGGAAGGUUUUCGGAUCGUAAAGCUCUGUUGUUGGUGAAGAAGGAUAGAGGCAGUAACUGGUCUUUAUUUGACGGUAAUCAACCAGAAAGUCACGGCUAACUACGUGCCAGCAGCCGCGGUAAUACGUAGGUGGCAAGCGUUGUCCGGAUUUAUUGGGCGUAAAGCGAGCGCAGGCGGAAUGAUAAGUCUGAUGUGAAAGCCCACGGCUCAACCGUGGAACUGCAUCGGAAACUGUCAUUCUUGAGUGCAGAAGAGGAGAGUGGAAUUCCAUGUGUAGCGGUGGAAUGCGUAGAUAUAUGGAAGAACACCAGUGGCGAAGGCGGCUCUCUGGUCUGCAACUGACGCUGAGGCUCGAAAGCAUGGGUAGCGAACAGG
Molecule: ribosomal RNA, 429 nt
Filed under: bacterium
Lineage: Bacteria
Also listed under: 2 other names
Description: partial 16S ribosomal RNA
Rfam family: Bacterial small subunit ribosomal RNA
Source: RNAcentral